This is a non-coding RNA of Acanthosepion pharaonis, 115 nucleotides long. NCBI's taxonomy places the organism in Eukaryota, Metazoa, Mollusca, Cephalopoda, Sepiida, Sepiidae. The record is from the annotation of a GenBank genome assembly.
ACGGACACAUCAAGUUGAAACACCGGUUCCCCCCGUACGAUCACCAAAGUUAAGCAGCAUCGAACCUAGUCAGUACCUAGAUGAGUGGCCGUUUGGGAAUCUCUGGUGCUGUAUG